GUCUCGGUAGCUUAUCUAAUAAAGCAUUAGUUUUGUAAACUGAACAAGGAGAAUCAACCACUCCCCAAGACA
This 72-nucleotide transfer RNA is filed under the name Geotrypetes seraphini (Gabon caecilian). RNAcentral describes it as "tRNA-Thr". It matches the Rfam family "tRNA". Rfam says of the family: Transfer RNA (tRNA) molecules are approximately 80 nucleotides in length. Their secondary structure includes four short double-helical elements and three loops (D, anti-codon, and T loops). Lineage: Eukaryota; Metazoa; Chordata; Amphibia; Gymnophiona; Dermophiidae. The record is from RNAcentral.